This 605-nucleotide ribosomal RNA is filed under the name Marinobacter sp. RNAcentral's name for it is "bacterial SSU rRNA". It matches the Rfam family "Bacterial small subunit ribosomal RNA", at positions 38 to 637 of the family's 1533-position model. Lineage: Bacteria; Pseudomonadati; Pseudomonadota; Gammaproteobacteria; Pseudomonadales; Marinobacteraceae. The record is from RNAcentral.
GGCGGCAGCUUACCAUGCAAGUCGAGCGGUAACAGGGGGUGCUUGCACCCCGCUGACGAGCGGCGGACGGGUGAGUAAUGCAUAGGAAUCUGCCCAGUAGUGGGGGAUAGCCCGGGGAAACCCGGAUUAAUACCGCAUACGCCCUUUGGGGGAAAGCAGGGGAUCUUCGGACCUUGCGCUAUUGGAUGAGCCUAUGUCGGAUUAGCUAGUUGGUGGGGUAAAGGCCUACCAAGGCGACGAUCCGUAGCUGGUCUGAGAGGAUGAUCAGCCACAUCGGGACUGAGACACGGCCCGAACUCCUACGGGAGGCAGCAGUGGGGAAUAUUGGACAAUGGGGGCAACCCUGAUCCAGCCAUGCCGCGUGUGUGAAGAAGGCUUUCGGGUUGUAAAGCACUUUCAGUGAGGAGGAAAACCUUCUGGUUAAUACCCAUGAGGCUUGACGUUACUCACAGAAGAAGCACCGGCUAACUCCGUGCCAGCAGCCGCGGUAAUACGGAGGGUGCAAGCGUUAAUCGGAAUUACUGGGCGUAAAGCGCGCGUAGGUGGUUUGAUAAGCGAGAUGUGAAAGCCCCGGGCUUAACCUGGGAACGGCAUUUCGAACUGUC